GACGAACGCUGGCGGCGUGCUUAACACAUGCAAGUCGAACGGAAAGGCCCUGCUUUUGUGGGGUGCUCGAGUGGCGAACGGGUGAGUAACACGUGAGUAACCUGCCCUUGACUUUGGGAUAACUUCAGGAAACUGGGGCUAAUACCGGAUAGGAGCUCCUGCUGCAUGGUGGGGGUUGGAAAGUUUCGGCGGUUUGGGAUGGACCCGCGGCUUAUCAGCUUGUUGGUGGGGUAGUGGCUUACCAAGGCUUUGACGGGUAGCCGGCCUGAGAGGGUGACCGGCCACAUUGGGACUGAGAUACGGCGCAGACUGCUACGGGAGGCAGUAGUGGGGAGUAUUGCGCAAUGGGCCGAAGCCUGAUGCAGCAGCGCCGCGUGCGGGAUGACGGCCUUCGGGUGGUAAACCGCUUUCGCCUGUGACGAAGCGUGAGUGACGGUAAUGGGUAAAGAAGCACCGGCUAACUACGUG
This 468-nucleotide ribosomal RNA is filed under the name uncultured bacterium. RNAcentral's name for it is "partial 16S ribosomal RNA". It matches the Rfam family "Bacterial small subunit ribosomal RNA", at positions 28 to 507 of the family's 1533-position model. The record is from RNAcentral.